This 2903-nucleotide ribosomal RNA is filed under the name Klebsiella quasipneumoniae subsp. similipneumoniae. RNAcentral describes it as "23S ribosomal RNA". It matches the Rfam family "Bacterial large subunit ribosomal RNA". RNAcentral also lists the same sequence under 1 other name. The record is from RNAcentral. Lineage: Bacteria; Pseudomonadati; Pseudomonadota; Gammaproteobacteria; Enterobacterales; Enterobacteriaceae.
GGUUAAGCGACUAAGCGUACACGGUGGAUGCCCUGGCAGUCAGAGGCGAUGAAGGACGUGCUAAUCUGCGAAAAGCGUCGGUAAGGUGAUAUGAACCGUUAUAACCGGCGAUGUCCGAAUGGGGAAACCCAGUGCAAUUCGUUGCACUAUCGUUAACUGAAUACAUAGGUUAACGAGGCGAACCGGGGGAACUGAAACAUCUAAGUACCCCGAGGAAAAGAAAUCAACCGAGAUUCCCCCAGUAGCGGCGAGCGAACGGGGAGCAGCCCAGAGUCUGAAUCAGCUUGUGUGUUAGUGGAACGGUCUGGAAAGUCCGACGGUACAGGGUGAUAGUCCCGUACACCAAAAUGCACAGGCUGUGAACUCGAAGAGUAGGGCGGGACACGUGGUAUCCUGUCUGAAUAUGGGGGGACCAUCCUCCAAGGCUAAAUACUCCUGACUGACCGAUAGUGAACCAGUACCGUGAGGGAAAGGCGAAAAGAACCCCGGCGAGGGGAGUGAAAAAGAACCUGAAACCGUGUACGUACAAGCAGUGGGAGCACCUUUAUGGUGUGACUGCGUACCUUUUGUAUAAUGGGUCAGCGACUUAUAUUCUGUAGCAAGGUUAACCGUAUAGGGGAGCCGCAGGGAAACCGAGUCUUAACUGGGCGUUAAGUUGCAGGGUAUAGACCCGAAACCCGGUGAUCUAGCCAUGGGCAGGUUGAAGGUUGGGUAACACUAACUGGAGGACCGAACCGACUAAUGUUGAAAAAUUAGCGGAUGACUUGUGGCUGGGGGUGAAAGGCCAAUCAAACCGGGAGAUAGCUGGUUCUCCCCGAAAGCUAUUUAGGUAGCGCCUCGUGAACUCAUCUUCGGGGGUAGAGCACUGUUUCGGCUAGGGGGUCAUCCCGACUUACCAACCCGAUGCAAACUACGAAUACCGAAGAAUGUUAUCACGGGAGACACACGGCGGGUGCUAACGUCCGUCGUGAAGAGGGAAACAACCCAGACCGCCAGCUAAGGUCCCAAAGUCAUGGUUAAGUGGGAAACGAUGUGGGAAGGCACAGACAGCCAGGAUGUUGGCUUAGAAGCAGCCAUCAUUUAAAGAAAGCGUAAUAGCUCACUGGUCGAGUCGGCCUGCGCGGAAGAUGUAACGGGGCUAAACCAUGCACCGAAGCUGCGGCAGCGACACUAUGUGUUGUUGGGUAGGGGAGCGUUCUGUAAGCCUGCGAAGGUGGCCUGUGAGGGUUGCUGGAGGUAUCAGAAGUGCGAAUGCUGACAUAAGUAACGAUAAAGCGGGUGAAAAGCCCGCUCGCCGGAAGACCAAGGGUUCCUGUCCAACGUUAAUCGGGGCAGGGUGAGUCGACCCCUAAGGCGAGGCCGAAAGGCGUAGUCGAUGGGAAACAGGUUAAUAUUCCUGUACUUGGUGUUACUGCGAAGGGGGGACGGAGAAGGCUAUGUUAGCCGGGCGACGGUUGUCCCGGUUUAAGCAUGUAGGCUGAUUAUCCAGGCAAAUCCGGAUAAUCAAGGCUGAGGUGUGAUGACGAGGCACUACGGUGCUGAAGUAACAAAUGCCCUGCUUCCAGGAAAAGCCUCUAAGCAUCAGGUAACAUCAAAUCGUACCCCAAACCGACACAGGUGGUCAGGUAGAGAAUACCAAGGCGCUUGAGAGAACUCGGGUGAAGGAACUAGGCAAAAUGGUGCCGUAACUUCGGGAGAAGGCACGCUGGUGUGUAGGUGAAGUCCCUGCGGAUGGAGCUGAGACCAGUCGAAGAUACCAGCUGGCUGCAACUGUUUAUUAAAAACACAGCACUGUGCAAACACGAAAGUGGACGUAUACGGUGUGACGCCUGCCCGGUGCCGGAAGGUUAAUUGAUGGGGUUAUCCGUAAGGAGAAGCUCUUGAUCGAAGCCCCGGUAAACGGCGGCCGUAACUAUAACGGUCCUAAGGUAGCGAAAUUCCUUGUCGGGUAAGUUCCGACCUGCACGAAUGGCGUAAUGAUGGCCAGGCUGUCUCCACCCGAGACUCAGUGAAAUUGAACUCGCUGUGAAGAUGCAGUGUACCCGCGGCAAGACGGAAAGACCCCGUGAACCUUUACUAUAGCUUGACACUGAACAUUGAGCCUUGAUGUGUAGGAUAGGUGGGAGGCUUUGAAGCGUGGACGCCAGUCUGCGUGGAGCCAACCUUGAAAUACCACCCUUUAAUGUUUGAUGUUCUAACGUUGGCCCCUUAUCGGGGUUGCGGACAGUGUCUGGUGGGUAGUUUGACUGGGGCGGUCUCCUCCCAAAGCGUAACGGAGGAGCACGAAGGUUAGCUAAUCCUGGUCGGACAUCAGGAGGUUAGUGCAAUGGCAUAAGCUAGCUUGACUGCGAGCGUGACGGCGCGAGCAGGUGCGAAAGCAGGUCAUAGUGAUCCGGUGGUUCUGAAUGGAAGGGCCAUCGCUCAACGGAUAAAAGGUACUCCGGGGAUAACAGGCUGAUACCGCCCAAGAGUUCAUAUCGACGGCGGUGUUUGGCACCUCGAUGUCGGCUCAUCACAUCCUGGGGCUGAAGUAGGUCCCAAGGGUAUGGCUGUUCGCCAUUUAAAGUGGUACGCGAGCUGGGUUUAGAACGUCGUGAGACAGUUCGGUCCCUAUCUGCCGUGGGCGCUGGAGAAUUGAGGGGGGCUGCUCCUAGUACGAGAGGACCGGAGUGGACGCAUCACUGGUGUUCGGGUUGUCAUGCCAAUGGCACUGCCCGGUAGCUAAAUGCGGAAGAGAUAAGUGCUGAAAGCAUCUAAGCACGAAACUUGCCCCGAGAUGAGUUCUCCCUGAGACUUUAAGUCUCCUGAAGGAACGUUAAAGACGAUGACGUUGAUAGGCCGGGUGUGUAAGCGCAGCGAUGCGUUGAGCUAACCGGUACUAAUGAACCGUGAGGCUUAACCUU